RNAcentral lists this ribosomal RNA (600 nucleotides) under uncultured bacterium. Its description in RNAcentral is "bacterial SSU rRNA". The stretch from base 1 to 424 matches the Rfam family "Bacterial small subunit ribosomal RNA", at positions 103 to 535 of the family's 1533-position model. The record is from RNAcentral.
UGGGUGAGUAACGCGUACACAACAUGCCAUAUACUUGGGGUAUAGCUUUGGGAAACUUGAAGUGUAAUCCCCCAUAACAUUGCGAGAGGGCAUCUGAUUGCAUUAAAGUUUCGACCGGUAUAUGACUUGGGUGUGCGUUUGAUUAGCUAGUUGGUAGGGUAACGGCUACCAAGGGACGAUCAAUAGCUGGCGUGAGAGCGCGACAGCCACACUGGAACUUGAGACACGGUUCCAAACUCCUAACGGGAGGCACNGUACGGGAAUAUUGGNCAAUUGGGCGAAAGCCUGAUCCAGGCCAUGCCGCGUGAUAGAUGAAGGCCCUCUGGGUUGUAACAUCAUCUUUAUCUGGGAAGGAACACCUCGUUUCUACAGGAGGUUAGACUGGUACCAAGGGAAUAAGCCCACGGCUAACUCCCCGGUGGGCCCAAGGGAGAAGCACCCGGCCGGGGUGAACUUACACCCGGGAAGGAGGGGCUUNGCCCAACAGGNCCGGGUAUANAUUCACCCGGNGAAUUAUCCACACGAUGGGGGGGGUUUNCAACANACCAGGGGGAGCAUCGCACGGUAACGAGCGGUAGGGAGGGUACGAACACAAAGAGG